AUACGUAGGGUGCAAGCGUUAAUCGGAAUUACUGGGCGUAAAGCGUGCGCAGGCGGUUAUGUAAGACAGAUGUGAAAUCCCCGGGCUCAACCUGGGAACUGCAUUUGUGACUGCAUAGCUAGAGUGCGGCAGAGGGGGAGUGGAAUUCCGCGUGUAGCAGUGAAAUGCGUAGAUAUGCGGAGGAACACCGAUGGCGAAGGCAAUCCCCUGGGCCUGUACUGACGCUCAUGCACGAAAGCGUGGGGAGC
This 248-nucleotide ribosomal RNA is filed under the name uncultured bacterium. RNAcentral describes it as "partial 16S ribosomal RNA". It matches the Rfam family "Bacterial small subunit ribosomal RNA", at positions 523 to 769 of the family's 1533-position model. The record is from RNAcentral.